CGUAGUGAACCUGCGGAGGGAUCAUUACAGAGUUAUACAACUCCCAUACCAUCUGUUAACCUACCCAGCUUAUGCCUCGGCGUAAGCUCGGUUGGAGGCACCUGCAGCUACCCUGUAGUUGCGGACUGCCAACUCCAGCCGCGGCCCGCCGGCGGUACACUAAACUCUGUUUUAUUUUAUAUUCUGAGCGUCUUAUUUUAAUAAGUUAAAACUUUCAACAACGGAUCUCUUGGUUCUGGCAUCGAUGAAGAACGCAGCGAAAUGCGAUAAGUAAUGUGAAUUGCAGAAUUCAGUGAAUCAUCGAAUCUUUGAACGCACAUUGCGCCCAUCAGUAUUCUGGUGGGCAUGCCUGUUCGAGCGUCAUUUCAACCCUUAAGCCUAGCUUAGUGUUGGGAAUCUGCUGUACUGCAGUUCCUUAAAGACAGUGGCGGAGCGGCGGUAGUCCUCUGAGCGUAGUAAUUUAUUUCUCGCUUUUGGUCAGGCUCUGUCCUCCCGCCAUAAAACCCCCMAUUUUUWAGUGGGUUGACCUCGGAUUCAGGUARGAAUACCCGCURACUKAAGCAUAUCA
This 568-nucleotide ribosomal RNA is filed under the name Sporotrichum columbiense. RNAcentral's name for it is "eukaryotic LSU rRNA". The stretch from base 210 to 363 matches the Rfam family "5.8S ribosomal RNA". Lineage: Eukaryota; Fungi; Basidiomycota. The record is from RNAcentral.